Non-coding RNA from Theobroma cacao (cacao), 169 nucleotides. The record is from RefSeq and is a predicted model, not a curated record. Lineage: Eukaryota; Viridiplantae; Streptophyta; Magnoliopsida; Malvales; Malvaceae.
UAAAGAAAAAGUGUGGGAUUUCAAGGGAUUAAGCUAAUAAAGGUGGUGAGCCCUCUAACAAGGGUAAAGAGAUUGUGCCCGAAGACCGAGAAUAGGAAUAUAUCAAACUCCUAGUACUGCUCGAGGUAGCCUGUGGAUAGCAGAUAUCGUCAAGGAUUAUAGUCUGCUU